Molecule: long non-coding RNA, 243 nt
Filed under: Trifolium pratense (red clover)
Lineage: Eukaryota; Viridiplantae; Streptophyta; Magnoliopsida; Fabales; Fabaceae
Description: long non-coding RNA (TPRA_LNC006312)
Source: RNAcentral
AAAGAGAAUGAAUCAGAAAAAGAAGGGCAAAGCAACCAAUGGGUAUGUAAGAGGUUGGGUUGUGUAAUGAAAUUGAAAUUGUCCACUAAAUGCUUUUCCUUCUUAAUGGGAAUGGGAAAUUAUAUUAGUAUCUCUCUCUCUCUCUAUGGGUUUGAACCGUGAAUUGGAGUAUCUACUCUCCAAUCACAUCACAUGUAUUUAUAAGGGGAGUGGAGUUGUAUGCUAUAGGUCAAUACUAUUACA